Molecule: long non-coding RNA, 445 nt
Organism: Cyprinus carpio carpio
Lineage: Eukaryota; Metazoa; Chordata; Actinopteri; Cypriniformes; Cyprinidae
Source: Ensembl
CGACGUCUCAGGGCCUCGAUAAAGUGCGCGCACGCACAGCGAGUGCCGGAGGCCGCGUUAGUGAGAAGAGCACAUGGAUACAUUUGUGAGAGAAAAACUCGUCGAAUGCAGACUUAUCGAGACGUCUAACCGUUGGAACAAACUUGGAAUUCCUUAACAGAGCAGAGUCCACGAAACCCCAUCCAUUUGUCAUGGCAAUUUGGAAAAUGCCAGCAGAUCUAUCAGACAUUGAUCAUAAUAAAUGGACAGGUCACCUUAGCCACCCGGAUCCAGUCUGUAUCCAGAUCAGAUGGUGGAUCAGCACCUAGAGAUGACCUCUACAGCCCUGAAUGUCAGUGGAGACCAGGGCAAUUAGAUGAGCCCCAGAGACAGAUCCCCAGUAAAGACCUUGUCUCCUAGAUGGACAUCGGCACAAGACAUUGGGAACCAGAUGAGUCCACUGCAC